Molecule: non-coding RNA, 73 nt
Organism: Lynx canadensis (Canada lynx)
Lineage: Eukaryota; Metazoa; Chordata; Mammalia; Carnivora; Felidae
Source: the annotation of a RefSeq genome assembly
GCCUGGCUGGCUCAGUUGGUAGAGCAUAUGACUCUUGAUUUUGGGGUUGUGAGUUUGAGCCUCACGUUGGGCA